This 207-nucleotide ribosomal RNA is filed under the name uncultured Latescibacterota bacterium. Its description in RNAcentral is "uncultured Latescibacteria bacterium partial 16S ribosomal RNA". It matches the Rfam family "Bacterial small subunit ribosomal RNA", at positions 568 to 774 of the family's 1533-position model. The record is from RNAcentral. Lineage: Bacteria; Pseudomonadati; Candidatus Latescibacterota.
CGUGUAGGCGGUCAGGUAAGUGGAAUGUGAAAUGCCCCGGCUCACCCGGGGACCGGCAUCUCAAACUGCCUGGCUUGAGUAUGGGAGAGGAUGGAGGAAUUCCUGGUGUAGCGGUGAAAUGCGUAGAUAUCAGGAGGAACACCGGUGGCGAAGGCGUCCAUCUGGCCCAAUACUGACGCUGAGGCGCGAAAGCUAGGGGAGCAAACG